RNAcentral lists this ribosomal RNA (620 nucleotides) under Pseudomonas aeruginosa. Its description in RNAcentral is "bacterial SSU rRNA". It matches the Rfam family "Bacterial small subunit ribosomal RNA", at positions 79 to 691 of the family's 1533-position model. The record is from RNAcentral. Lineage: Bacteria; Pseudomonadati; Pseudomonadota; Gammaproteobacteria; Pseudomonadales; Pseudomonadaceae.
CUUGCUCCUGGAUUCAGCGGCGGACGGGUGAGUAAUGCCUAGGAAUCUGCCUGGUAGUGGGGGAUAACGUCCGGAAACGGGCGCUAAUACCGCAUACGUCCUGAGGGAGAAAGUGGGGGAUCUUCGGACCUCACGCUAUCAGAUGAGCCUAGGUCGGAUUAGCUAGUUGGUGGGGUAAAGGCCUACCAAGGCGACGAUCCGUAACUGGUCUGAGAGGAUGAUCAGUCACACUGGAACUGAGACACGGUCCAGACUCCUACGGGAGGCAGCAGUGGGGAAUAUUGGACAAUGGGCGAAAGCCUGAUCCAGCCAUGCCGCGUGUGUGAAGAAGGUCUUCGGAUUGUAAAGCACUUUAAGUUGGGAGGAAGGGCAGUAAGUUAAUACCUUGCUGUUUUGACGUUACCAACAGAAUAAGCACCGGCUAACUUCGUGCCAGCAGCCGCGGUAAUACGAAGGGUGCAAGCGUUAAUCGGAAUUACUGGGCGUAAAGCGCGCGUAGGUGGUUCAGCAAGUUGGAUGUGAAAUCCCCGGGCUCAACCUGGGGAACUGCAUCCAAAACUACUGAGCUAGAGUACGGUAGAGGGGUGGGUGGAAAUUUCCUGUGUAGCGGUGAAAUGCGU